GAUGAACGCUAGCGGGAGGCUUAACACAUGCAAGUCGAGGGGCAGCACGAUGUAGCAAUACGUUGGUGGCGACCGGCGCACGGGUGAGUAACACGUAUGCAACCUACCCUGUACAGGGGGAUAACCCGGAGAAAUUCGGACUAAUAUCCCAUAAAGAUAUUUGAGGGCAUCCUUGGAUAUUUAAAGCUCAGGCGGUACGGGAUGGGCAUGCGGAACAUUAGCUAGUUGGCAGGGUAACGGCCUACCAAGGCAACGAUGUUUAGGGGACCUGAGAGGGUGAUCCCCCACACUGGUACUGAGACACGGACCAGACUCCUACGGGAGGCAGCAGUGAGGAAUAUUGCACAAUGGGGGAAACCCUGAUGCAGCGACGCCGCGUGGGAG
RNAcentral lists this ribosomal RNA (384 nucleotides) under uncultured bacterium. RNAcentral describes it as "bacterial SSU rRNA". It matches the Rfam family "Bacterial small subunit ribosomal RNA", at positions 28 to 407 of the family's 1533-position model. The record is from RNAcentral.